UACGGGGGGGGCAAGCGUUGUUCGGAUUUACUGGGCGUAAAGGGCGCGUAGGCGGCAUGACAAGUCACUUGUGAAAUCUCCGGGCUUAACUCGGAACGGCCAAGUGAUACUGUCACGCUAGAGUGCAGAAAGGGCAAUCGGAAUUCCUGGUGGAGCGGUGAAAUGCGCAGAUAUCAGGAGGAACACCCGUAGCGAAGGCGGCACUCUGGGCCGAUACUGACACUGAGGAGCGAAAGCGUGGGGAGCGAACAGG
This 253-nucleotide ribosomal RNA is filed under the name uncultured bacterium. RNAcentral describes it as "partial 16S ribosomal RNA". It matches the Rfam family "Bacterial small subunit ribosomal RNA", at positions 524 to 776 of the family's 1533-position model. The record is from RNAcentral.